AGUGAGAUAUAUUAUGAUUUCUAUCACAAUAUCAUCGAAACUUUUUUCAACAGAUUGGAACAAUUCUAACUCUUCUCAUUCGAGUUCACUGAUCACCAAGUGAAUGCCUUUGAGUCUCACCAUCCACCAGUGACACCUAGCAGCAUGUAGUGGCCACCCAGCAGAAUGGAAGGAUGAAUCUCUAGGUACAGUUAGCAUAUGGUACAGUCCCUCUAUCGUGGAUUCUGAUAGGAUGGAGGUCAUGGAUAACUCGUCAAACUCCAUCAUCUGUCAUA
RNAcentral lists this long non-coding RNA (275 nucleotides) under Phoenix dactylifera (date palm). Its description in RNAcentral is "long non-coding RNA (PDAC_LNC008670)". Lineage: Eukaryota; Viridiplantae; Streptophyta; Magnoliopsida; Arecales; Arecaceae. The record is from RNAcentral.